UGGGGAAUAUUGGACAAUGGGCGAAAGCCUGAUCCAGCCAUGCCGCGUGUGUGAAGAAGGUCUUCGGAUUGUAAAGCACUUUAAGUUGGGAGGAAGGGCAGUAAGCGAAUACCUUGCUGUUUUGACGUUACCGAAAGAAUAAGCACCGGCUAACUCUGUGCCAGCAGCCGCGGUAAUACAGAGGGUGCAAGCGGUAAUCGGAAUUACUGGGCGUAAAGCGCGCGUAGGGGGUUCGUUAAGUUGAAUGUGAAAGCCCCGGGCUCAACCUGGGAACUGCAUCCAAAACUGGCGAGCGAGAGUAGGGCAGAGGGUGGUGGAAUUUCCUGUGUAGCGGUGAAAUGCGUAGAUAUAGGAAGGAACACCAGUGGCGAAGGCGACCACCUGGGCUCAUACUGACACUGAGGUGCGAAAGCGUGGGGAGCAAACAGG
RNAcentral lists this ribosomal RNA (429 nucleotides) under Pseudomonadota bacterium. Its description in RNAcentral is "Proteobacteria bacterium partial 16S ribosomal RNA". It matches the Rfam family "Bacterial small subunit ribosomal RNA", at positions 355 to 776 of the family's 1533-position model. Lineage: Bacteria; Pseudomonadati; Pseudomonadota. The record is from RNAcentral.